GCAUUCCUACAUUUGAAGCAAUAUGAAGUAUGAUUGGCAGCAACCCAAUUUCAUUAUUCUUAGAUGAGUCAGUAAGUGUGGAAAGAGAAAUUAAAUGGGCAGCCAAUCAACAUACACACAAAAAAAAUCAGAUAUUCUGAGGCCAAGAAAGUAUUUAUAUGCUGAUGACUCAACUUUUGCAGCAGUGUCUGCAGCAAGAACAGGAAAUAUACUGUUGAACCCUCUUACGACAACAACUUGGAUGUGAAAGACCGGAAUAGCUCAUUCUGCCUUCUGUGAUUCCGAAAGCUGGAGCUGCAAUCCUGGAUCUCUGCAGAACACACUCACAAGAGCUUCCGAGCUCAUUAAAGGACAUCAGAAAUACAAGGGUCCUGCAGGACACAUGCAUUUCUGGGGUUUGCAAGUUCAAAACUAAUACAGCACAGCAGAAGAGGCCUUUUAAUCCUGCUUAUUAGCAAAAGGGAGUUUCUGACAUAACCCAAACGCUCUGGCAGACAGACAACACACAGCUGAAGAACAGACACUGCAACACAAUGGAUUCCAAGCACUGAUACCUCUGGCAAAUGAGCUCCACUGGAGAAGCAGCAUUCUUGUUUUCAGGGAAGAAGCCACCUUACUCAGACUAAUACUUACCUUCUGAAGACAUGUCAUCUUCCACAAAACAAAACGAGGUGCUGAUAGCUUAGCUGAGGCAGCUGGGGGAAAGGGUAAGAGAGAAUGCAGGCUCGCAGUGGAAUGGAGGUACUUGAAACCCAAACAAAAAGCUGAAGCUUUCAACCCCUAAAGAGUGUGCAUUAUUUACUGCAUGCCACUGGACUGAGCAAGUUUCUUAGCUGGCCACAGUUUACCCAUCUCCCCUACCAAGCAGCAAGAAAUGUACUGACAAGAAGUACACCCACUGAGAAGCAGGGUGAGAGGAGACAGAGCUGGGAUGCCCUCCUCCAGGACACUGUGUGUGCCCAGCUCACAGCCAGGGGCCAGGUGAGCGCUUCUCUGGCUGUGGUAGCAGUGUGGUGGAACAGACUGCUCCAACACAGCACAGGAACCCAAGUUAUGAGCAGUUGGGAAGGGUGUCUGUGCAACAAAGCCUUCCUAGCACCAUUAACAUUUCAUUUUUCAGAUUAUACUGAAACGAUAUCCUAACCAUGAGAAGUCAAAUUUCCCAUCAUGUCAUGAUUUCAUCACAUUAAUUUCUCUCAGAUCUGCAACUCUUACUAUGUGCCAAACAAUCAUGGCCCUUUUUUGGUGUGUUGUAUCAUAUCCAAGCUUCUCCUGUAAUCUGUAACCCACUAACAUUUGUACAUCACUCACCACAAACACCACCCAGGAAGAGAGUAGACACAAUAUUUUAUGCUCACUUAAGCACAACUAUGCUGUUUUCACACUCAAAGACAGAUGGGGCAUUUAAAGUAUGCAAGUUGUGGGCACAAAUCUGCAUCACACUCUGGCCACCAACAUGGAAAUUCACCCCAUUACCUACAACCAGCAUUAAGCAAACCAUGCAGGGCAGAUUGUCCUCUAUAAAACAUCAUGUUAAGACCACUUUUUAAGAAGAAUGGCUAUAAUUGCUAAAUAUUUUCCAACAAAAUAUUGUUGAAAGGAUACUCAAAUAUUACUCUUUCCCCGUUCAUGGGACAUGACUGGACAACAGUAAUGAUCCAAAUCCAUAACCACAACUUCCCAAAUGGGGCCUCUGGGAUACCAGCAGUUGCAGUGACAUGAUUUUUUUAAAUGGUAUUGGGCUUCUUUAAAAUGAAAAUAGACUAUUCAUAAUUCAUCUCCCUUCUAUCAACUGAAGAACUUUCAUUUAAAGGAAAAAAGCAUUCACUUGAAUGUUAAGAGCAUGCAUAAAUCAAAUAUGGAACUAAAAGACAUUUAAUGAUAUUUGCACAAACACUUUCCAGCAAUGACUCUGAUUUUAAUUAUCUAGUGGAUGAACCCUGCCUGUGAACAAGUCCAAUGGUAUUCUGCAGCCAAUUCCUAACUCUGUGGUCCAUGUCUCCUAGACCAAACAUGCUUUGCAGCUUUUGCACAAAUAUUUUUCAUUUUGCACCCUAGUUUUACAGCCCCUCAUUUUUUCCCUCUGCUUUUUAGUUUCUAAAUGCUCUCUGUUUCUAUCUAUACAAUCAACCAAAGUGCACACAAAAUAUAAUGUGGGAUAUAAAACUGUGAAAAUAAAAUCUGGGAAAUUUGCAAGCAAUUUUUCUAGCAAAAAAUACAUGUUUGAGAAGACAUAAAUAAAGAUUUUAAUAAGCCUCACACAAACAGGCACAUGCCUACUCGUUCUUCCAAACUGUCAGAGCUCUUGCAAAAGACUUCUUUUAUAUUUGUCUUAGUCCCUGAAGUUACACGUCUUAAAGUUAAAAAAGAUAGACUUGUUAAUAACACACAAAUGUUCAUAGACAUAACAUCUUUACAGAUAUCCUCUGUGAGCAGAUCAAGCCACUCUCCAUAUGUAUUUAAGUGAAGUGGAAGGCUGGAGUUUUUAAGUUGUCAGAUCUGCGCCUGGGUAAGAGGGGCUCUAUUUUCACUCUUGGAGCAGGGAGAGAUUAGCAGCUUGAAAUCACUUUGACAGUUUCAGUUACUCUCCUGCAUACUGCAGGGAAUUUUAAUUCCAACCUGUGAAAUUGUAAUUGCUUCUCAAGAAGAGCAGGAGGAUUCUGGGUAAUGGCCACAGCUAAGCUCAGUGUCAGAGUUGCCACUUGCUGCCACUUCUGAUAUUAUUUGCUGUUAUUCAAAAAUCACUCCAGCUUUCUAUAUGGGAAGUUGAACUGGGAAGUGAAACUAGAUUAACAGUAGCUGUCAGAUGUUCAGAGAUGUGCAAGGAAUGAUGUAACAAAGGUGAGUCUCCUCAAAAAGCACCUUUUCUUCUUUAUCUUGCUUUAUAGAACAAGCUUUACAUAAAACACUUCUUCUAUAUCAUACUCUUUUUCUAAACAAGUAUUACUAGAAAGCUGCAAUGAAAAGACUAAAUGACAAAGUCCUCCAGCAUACAAUGCUCGAGUAGACAAUAAAAUGUGUGUACUUAAUGCUGAUCACAAUAGAUUUAAGAUGUCUUUGCUGCUCAGGGUUCCGUGGUUUGUAAGAUUCCUCACUGCAAACAGCCAAGAGAACUCAGAGCUACCACAAACACUUAAAUAGUUGAGGCUUUCCUGGUAUCAAAUGGAAAUUAUAUUCUUUUUUUCUCAGACAAAAGGUCAUUGAACGUAGAUUGCUUAUUAGCAGACACAUUCUCUAGUGAUGAGAGUGUUCAGCAUGUGUGAAAGCGGGAUCAAUUGACUAUGAGGUAACUUUUCCUGCAAUGACCUUGUUAAGCUGGGGUGCAGCAGAUUUCUCACCCACCCUGAUGGCUUGCAAAGAGGGAAUACUUGGAAAUAGGUCUCGAGCAUAAUGUUGAUGUAAAAAUUAAAAAUGCUGCCUGGCAGGGUACUUAGGGGAUUCAGGGAGCCAAACAGGAUCAAAAAUCACAGAUCAGAUGGUCAGGUUAACUCGUUCAUGAGGAGGAUGUACUUGUACAGCUCACUCCACACUCACUGAGGUUUCCCAAGCUGCACCAGUAGCCGCAGGCAGUCCAGGCUUGGUCCAGGUGAGCUGUUUGACCAGAACUGUUUUGCUCAGCUCAGUGGCUUUGGAAGCUUUAUUUGUACAUAACCAGAACGCAAUGACAAACACAAUGCUGCUCUACAACACAAAGUGUCAAAAACCUCUCUCAAAAUCUAAAGGAAGGCAACAAAACAUGUGAUAAACAACACUUCCUACUUUGUGAUUUUAAACAGUCUCUGCAAGUGGAAGUUUGGAUGAAGAUUCAGAAAGGUGACAAGAUUAAAGCUCAGUUUAAGAAUAUACUGCAGGCAAUGUCAUUUACAAAGUCUUCUUUGGCCUCUUUCAGUAUAUUGCACUAUUUCUGAGAAAAUAAGCUGGUCCCAUUAAAGUCAACGAUGCACAGAAUCUAAAUCACAAGCUUGGUAAAUCUCUGUAAUAGCUGAUGCAAUGAGUCUGUAAUUGCCACGAUUAGAUAAGCUAGAGUGGCUGACAGAGAUAAUGCUAGAGGCACACAACAUAUCUGCAUAGAUUAUUCCCAUCACAUGCGAAAAUUUGGCUCGGAUAUAAUGAUUUUGCCAAUCCACAGUUUUCCUGAGAAUCUUGCAAUCUGUGGUACUUUCCUGAAAAUUUCAACGCCCAGAGUCAUGUUGGUGAGUUUUUUCUGAGAAUUUUUCAGAUUUGUUAAAAAAGUAACUUACUGAUUAUUAUAUAUUCCUUGUUGUACAGAAAAGCCUGACAAAAAAAGCAUGCCAACAAACACAAGAAAAUUAAGGGCAUGUUUUUGUUUUGUUGUUUUUUUUAUUUUUUCUUUUAAAACUUGUGGAUUUUGAGUCUUGGCUUUUGACCUUCAGUGGUUGCUAUAAAAAAUUCUAUUUUUGAUUGAUCACACACCUGAUUUCCUAAAGACAGUAACAUCUGUUGUUAUAAUUUACAGGCUGUGCUGAAAGCAUCAUGGUGGAGCUUCCUGGUUAAUUGUCCGUAAUUAUUUCAAAUCCCCAAUUUAUAAAGUACAAGCUCUCUUACUAGGGGAUGAUUAUUCCUCUGCACUGUAGAGACAAUGUACUGGUUUUGGCUGGGAUAUAGUUAAUUUUCUUCACAGCAACUGGUAUGGGGCUAUGUUUUGGAUUUUCUGCUGCUGAGGAGGGCUCACACAGCAUCAAGGCCUCUUCUGCAUUUCUGGGAAUGUCUGAGCACCUGCCUGUCAAAGUAAUGAAUGAUUUAUUUACUUGGUUUGCCUUGCUUGCAUGCACAGCUUUUGCUUCACCUAUCUAAGUGUCUUUACCUCAACCCCUAAGUUUUAUCACUUUUACCCUUCUGAUUCUUGUUCCCACCCCACUGCAGGGGAGUGAGCAAGCAUCUCAGCUGCCUGCGGGGGUUAAACCACAACAGCCAUGUAAGACAGCUCAGCUCCACCUGGAUGUGACACAAACACUAAAAAACCCCUCAACAGUGCCUGUGUUAUGAUUUGAAACAAUCUCUGCAAGUGGAAGUUUGGAUGAAGAUUCAGAAAGG
Haemorhous mexicanus (house finch) is the source of this 5055-nucleotide long non-coding RNA. RefSeq lists it as uncharacterized. The record is from RefSeq and is a predicted model, not a curated record. The transcript has 2 exons. NCBI's taxonomy places the organism in Eukaryota, Metazoa, Chordata, Aves, Passeriformes, Fringillidae.